Molecule: microRNA precursor, 116 nt
Organism: Brassica oleracea var. oleracea
Lineage: Eukaryota; Viridiplantae; Streptophyta; Magnoliopsida; Brassicales; Brassicaceae
Rfam family: MIR9563 microRNA precursor family
Source: Rfam
GGAAGUCAAUAAACUGUUUCUUAAUUUUUAAUUAAAAAAGUUAAGAACCAGUCCUUAUUUAAGAACCGGUUCUUAGCUCUUUUAAUUAAAAGUUAAGAAACAGUUUAUUAACUUUC